GCGAGAAACAGAGGCACUACAGCCCUAGCUGCAGCUGCUGCCUCUCUCUCUCUCCUCUCCAUCUUCCCUCUCUUCUUCUUCUUCUUCUUCUUUUCUUCUCUUCUCCCUCUUCUUCAUCCUCUUCUUUUCCCUCUUCUUCUCUUCUCCCUCUACUUCUCUUCUUCUUCUCCCCACGCCCCACCGCUUCUCUCUAUUUCUCGAAGAAACAGAGAGAGCAUGGGAGGCGGUGGGAUAAAACCGAAAUUUUCGGUUUUCUUUAUUUUUUUUCUUUUUGCAACUUAACAGUUUAGUCCUUGAAAUUUCUAUAUUUACAUGUAGGUCCUCCAAUUUACAUAUAAAUCUUUAUUAAUAAUUUUCAAAAGUGAGGGAUAUUACACUCUCCCCUCCUUAAAAGAAAAUUUAGUCCUCUAAAUUGAUCAUAGCUCAAUCGAUGAAAAGAUGAGGAUUAUGUUAUCCUUAUUUCCUCCUUCGAUCAACCCGACCUUCGAUCAAUUUCUAAAAAUACUUGCGCACCCUGCAGUUAAUCAAGUAAGUCGUUACUUUAGAAAAUACUCGUUUCUUAUGGUCACUUGAUUCAACUGUCCAUAAUCAAUACAAAGCCUUAAUGUUCCAUCCAUCUUUUUAAUAAACCCCGGAGCACCCCAUGAUGAAAUAUUAAGCCAAAUAAAAUCCUUAUUUAAUAGUCCUUAUAGUUGCUUUUCCAAUUCCACUUACUCAAAUGAUGUCAUUAUGUAGAGAGGCUUAGUUAUUGGGAUUAUCCCAAAGACCAAAUCAAAAGCAAAGUCACAUUUGGAGGUAAUCCAAGCAAGUCAUCCUGGGAUACAUUAGGCAAGGAGAUAAAUCAUGUCCAAUACUCUCAAAAUAAAAGAUCGGCUGAUCAAAUAUGCAAAAAGUGAUCAUUUGUUAUAUACCAAUCCAUACUGGUAUGAUAGGAAGAUAGCCAAUCCAUACCAAGUAUAAUAUCAUAACUCCAAAUCUCUAGGAGAACUAAAUCAGCAAAAGUUCAAGUUCUCCAAUAAAAAUCAGACAAGAGGACCAGAUUCAAGUUCGUUAUCAAAUAAUCUCCAAUGAUUGUAUUUACAUAUAUCACAUAAUACAAUGGUCUAGGUUGAAUACCCAAGUGAUAAGCAAAAUAUUACGAAUCAAAUCGUAGAUAGGACCCAUGGUCAAACAAAUAUUUACAUUCUUUCAUAAACAUGCAUAAUACCUUCGAUCACUAAUUCAAAAGUUUUAGAAUCAUAUUCAGUAAUAGCAUACACUCUGACAUGGGUUGAUGGUUUAUGAGGCAGUGACUCUUUCUUCUUGUUCAAAGGGCAGUCUUUUAUUUCAUGAUCCAACUUUCUACAAGCAAAAUAGACUCCAAUCACCCGAAACACAAAUUUGUUUCAUAAUUUAACUUAUAAUUCACACAUGAUUGAGUCUUUUGUGGUGACUUCCCAUUUCAAAUCCAAAUGUCUUGACCCUCUUGUUAUUACUUCCUGAUUCAUUUCCAAUCAUAUUUUUAUUGCUAAACUUAUCCUUAUCAUUCUUGCCACAUAUCUCAAAAAAUUCUUUUCAUUGUUGCCAAUAAUAAUCAGCCUCUAUUUCCAAUAUAAGGUAGCAAAAGAAAUCUUUUGAUCAUUAGAACAAUUUUGUAUAUCAAAUAUCUUCUCCAUUUGCAUCAUCCAUUUUUCUACCACCAAUGAAAUUAGGUUCAUCAUGCUUCUACUGCGCCACUCUGAUUCUAUAUCCCCGAUUACCCCAUUCAUCCCACUUAAUUAAUCAAAAUCAGAUGAAAUAGGAGGACCAAAUAUCCUCAUCAUCCUUGAUUCCUAAAAUUCAUCAAAGAAAAUUUCCACUAAUCACUAUAGUUCACUAGACCUCAAUAUUUUUUUGCACGUCAACAUAUCAAAUAUUUCAGUGAUCCUCAAACUAUGCUCUGAUACCACCUCUGUCACGCCCCCUCAAAAAUUAUCCAUGAUAUUAAAACAAUUUCAUCACAAACCAAUCCAGGAUCCAAACUAACAUUUGAGGACACUGAAAACAUUCUAUCAAAUUCACAUCUAUAAAACCUGUGCAGUUUAUAAUCAUAUAUCACAUCACUUGAUAAUUCACAUUUAUGGCAACCCAAGCCAACUUGACAAACAUGAACAACAUUUAUAAAUCCACAAGCUAAAUAAAUUAUACAAUCAGAACUCCAACUAUUCACCACAAGUUCAUAUCGUCAUAAAUUAGACUUAACAUUCCGAAAUUCCAAAUAAGAGAGAUCUUCUAACACUUUUAUACAGUAUAUCCAUUUCGAUUCAUCAACAACAUUUCAUU
This 2301-nucleotide long non-coding RNA is filed under the name Musa acuminata (dwarf banana). RNAcentral describes it as "long non-coding RNA (MACU_LNC011837)". The record is from RNAcentral. Lineage: Eukaryota; Viridiplantae; Streptophyta; Magnoliopsida; Zingiberales; Musaceae.